CCUACGGGGGGCAGCAGUGGGGAAUUUUGGACAAUGGGCGCAAGCCUGGUCCAGCUAUUCCGCGUGUGGGAAGACGGCCUUCGGGUUGUAAACCACUUUUGUAGAGAACGAAAAGUCUGUUGAUAAUACCGAUAGAUGAUGACGGUACUCUAAGAAUAAGCACCGGCUAACUACGUGCCAGCAGCCGCGGUAAUACGUAGGGUGCGAGCGUUAAUCGGAAUUACUGGGCGUAAAGGGUGUGCAGGCGGUUUUGCAAGAUGGAUGUGAAAGCCCCGGGCUUAACCUGGGAAAGCCAUACAUGACUGCAAGACUAGAGUGCGCCAGAGGGGGGUGGAAUUCCAAGUGUAGCAGUGAAAUGCGUAGAUAUUUGGAAGAACACCGAUGGCGAAGGCAGCCCCCUGGGACGCAACUGACGCUCAUACACGAAAGCGUGGGGAGCAAACAGGAUUAGAUACCCGGGUAGUC
Molecule: ribosomal RNA, 465 nt
Filed under: uncultured bacterium
Lineage: Bacteria
Description: partial 16S ribosomal RNA
Rfam family: Bacterial small subunit ribosomal RNA
Source: RNAcentral